RNAcentral lists this long non-coding RNA (2487 nucleotides) under Mytilus galloprovincialis (Mediterranean mussel). Lineage: Eukaryota; Metazoa; Mollusca; Bivalvia; Mytilida; Mytilidae. The record is from RNAcentral.
AUAAAUUCAUUUAAAGCAUAAAAGACGAGUUAAAAGAGCAACGGGCGUAUCAUGCGCUAAAGCGCAGCCCUUUAUUGAUUAUUGUCUUAAAUAUUAUUAUAGAUAGAGAUAAACUGUAAACAGCAAUAAUGUUCUACAAUGUAAGAUCUACAAAUAGGUCAACAUGGCCAAAAUAGUCAGUUGACCCCUUAUAUAAGGAGUUAUUGCCCUUUAUAGUAAUUUUUUACCAAUUUUUUGUAAAUUUUUGUUAUGGUCUGUUUUAAACUUAGCCACAAUCAUUAUUGGGGUAUCUAGUUUUAAAAAUGUGUCCGGUGAACUGAUCAACUGACCAAGAUGGCCACCAUGGCUAAAAAUAGAACAUAUGGGUAAAAUGUAGAUUUUUGCUUAUAAUCCUGAAACCAAAUCAUUUAGAGCAAAUCAGACCGAGGUUAAUUUUUUAUCAAGUCAAGGUCUAUCUGUCGUGAAAUUUUCAGAUGAAUUGGACAUUCAGUUGUUGGGUGGCUCCCCUGAAUUGGUAUUUUGUAAGGAAGUUUUGCCGUUUUUGGUUCUUAUCUUGAAUAUUAUUAUAGAUAGAGAUAAACUGUAAAAAGCAAUAAUUUUAAGCAAAGUAAGAUCUACAAAUAAGUCAACCUGAUCAAAAUGGUCAGUUGACCCCUUAAGGAGUUAUUGCCCUUUAUAGUAAUUUUUUAUCAAUUUUUCGUAAUUUUUUGUAAUCUUUUACAAAAAUAUUCUCUGAAACUACUGAGCCAAAUUUAACCAAACUUGGCCACAAUCAUCAGUUGAACCCUUUAGGAGUUAUUGCCCUUUACAGUAAGUUUUUGUAAAUUUUAACAAAAUAUUUUUCAGUGUAGCUAAUGGGCCAAGUUCAUUAUAGACAGAGAUAAUUGAAAGUAGCAAGAAUGUUCAGUAAAGUACAAUCUACAAACACAUCGCCAUCACAAACAACGAGCGACACAGUCUCUAGUUUUUUGUCUGCUGUUUUUGCAAUAUUUGCUCCAGUGGAAAUAUUAUUCCAGAACUUUGUAGUAUUUCUGGAUGGUAGGGGUAACAGUUCUCCUGUUUUUUUAUACAGCACCCGAUUUUAAACAAUGUAUGAUUCUAUACAACGUACGAUUUUAUACAAUAUAUAAUUUUAUACAUUGCAUGAUUUUACAGUCUUGUCAUGUUGUCAUCAGUUGUUUUUUAACAUGAUUUUUUGAAUUGCUUUAAAACAGUAUCUCUAAAUUUUAUCAUUGUGUAUAACAUGCUAUACAAAAUGCAGUCAUAUGUAAUGAGUAAAUGGAUUGCUUGUUCUAUAUUUUUUUUAUACACUUUUAACUAAUUUUGAUAAUAUAUUAAAUUAUAGACAGUAAUUCAUGUUUUGAAAACAAACCCCUCCCAAAAUUUCAAUUGUAAAGGUAUUAUUGAUUAAAGAAUUGUCUAUUUCAGUUAGAUAAUUAAUAUUAAUGUAAUAAUUCUUUGCUAUAGUUCCUACAGUUAACAUAUAAACUGAGUCAGAUAGAAGUUGUCCAUAUGUAUGAUAUGUGCACAUGUACAUGUAUACGACUUUGAUUGAUUUGGAAAAUUCAAAUUCAAAAUAAAAGAUUAAUUUUUGGCGGUUUUGUAUGGUUCUUAUAACAACUAAAUUUUCAACAAUUUUUUUUUCAAACAGUUACAUACUUUCCGAAUAGAUUUGAUUCAACCUGAAUAAGGUUAACAGAUGUAUUGUUAUUUAUAUGUAUUACUUGUAGGACAAUUUCUGUCUGACACAACUCAUAUCAUGUGGAAUUUUGUUCCUAAACAAAGCAUUGCUAAGGACAUAGAAAUACUGACGUCCCGUUGUCCUGUCUUGUAAAAGAAGGAAGGACACCAGGGGGCAUUCAAACUCAUAAGUCAAAAAUAAACUGACAAUUUAAACCAUUGCUAAAAAAGAAAAAGACUACAGACUAAAAAAGAAAAGGAUUAACAGACAAUCAACAGAACACAGUAGUCACACAACAUAGAAAACUAUAGACUGAGCAACACGACCCCACAAAAACUUGGGGUGAUCUACAAAGAAAUGGACAGUCACAAUUUGAAAGCUGAAAUCAUUUCUUUUGUUGUAAGGGUUUGAUUUUUACCAACCCCUUUUGUAAAUUUCUAGAUGUAAGGCAAAAUAUGAGGUAGGCUAAAAUAUAUCUGUUGUAUCCGUUAUCUCAAAUUCGUGGCAUAGAAUAAAUGUAAAAUAAUAGAUGCAUAAAGUGAAUAUGGCAAAAGAAUUUUGGCCCCUUUUUUCCUGAACUGUUAGUCACAACUUCCAAUGUCAAUUCCAAGAUAUCCAUUUUGGUAUGGAACCUUGUGUCAAUAUUUGUAUUAUAAACAGGUAUUUAGUUAACACAGCUUCAAAAAGGAAAGAUUUUUUUUUAAUUGUACUGAAUUUCAGUAAGUUUAUAGUUAGGACAAGUAUUUUUUGUUGAUUAUUUUUCCAUGUAUUUAUUUUUCUGUACCAUUCGUGUUUACACUGUUUUU